CUUGACGACCAUAGAGUGUUGGAACCACCUGAUCCCAUCCCGAACUCAGAAGUGAAACGAUACAUCGCCGAUGGUAGUGUGGGGUUUCCCCAUGUGAGA
This 99-nucleotide ribosomal RNA is filed under the name Pseudomonas sp. RIT409. The record is from RNAcentral. Lineage: Bacteria; Pseudomonadati; Pseudomonadota; Gammaproteobacteria; Pseudomonadales; Pseudomonadaceae.